This 253-nucleotide ribosomal RNA is filed under the name uncultured bacterium. RNAcentral's name for it is "partial 16S ribosomal RNA". It matches the Rfam family "Bacterial small subunit ribosomal RNA", at positions 524 to 776 of the family's 1533-position model. The record is from RNAcentral.
UACGUAGGGGGCAAGCGUUGUCCGGAAUCAUUGGGCGUAAAGAGCGUGUAGGCGGCUCGAUAAGUCCGCUGUGAAAGUCCAGGGCUCAACCCUGGAAGGCCGGUGGAAACUGUCGGGCUAGAGUCCGGAAGAGGCGAGUGGAAUUCCCGGUGUAGCGGUGGAAUGCGUAGAGAUCCGGAAGAACACCGGUGGCGAAGGCGGCCUGCUGGGCAGUUGCUGACACUGAGGCGCGACAGCGUGGGGAGCAAACAGG